This 110-nucleotide non-coding RNA is filed under the name Thioflavicoccus mobilis. RNAcentral describes it as "c-di-GMP sequence". It matches the Rfam family "c-di-GMP-I riboswitch aptamer". Rfam says of the family: GEMM was predicted in a large-scale screen for bacterial structured RNA regulatory elements. Genes associated with GEMM are involved in a diverse array of functions, including chemotaxis regulation, signal transduction, secretion and chitin. Lineage: Bacteria; Pseudomonadati; Pseudomonadota; Gammaproteobacteria; Chromatiales; Chromatiaceae. RNAcentral also lists the same sequence under 1 other name. The record is from RNAcentral.
GCAUCGAAACGGCAAACCACGUUAAAGCGUGGGACGCAAAGCCUCUGGCCUAAGUCCCGACGUACGGUGGCCAGAACAGCCACCGGGGAUACGGCAGCAGGGCUACCGAA